GCACUCACUUUGGCAGCACUCAUACUAAAAUUGAAAUGAUAUAGAGAAAAUUAGCGUGUCCCUGUGCAAGGAUGACACCUAAAUUCAUAAAGAGUUCCAUAUUUUU
Molecule: small nuclear RNA, 106 nt
Organism: Pteropus vampyrus (large flying fox)
Lineage: Eukaryota; Metazoa; Chordata; Mammalia; Chiroptera; Pteropodidae
Source: Ensembl